RNAcentral lists this long non-coding RNA (346 nucleotides) under Rattus norvegicus (Norway rat). RNAcentral describes it as "long non-coding RNA NONRATT013689". Lineage: Eukaryota; Metazoa; Chordata; Mammalia; Rodentia; Muridae. The record is from RNAcentral.
GUCAAUGACAAUAUACCUGUGGUGGAAUACGGAACGUACGAGGGGGUAGUGGAAGAAAACCAGGUCAAUGUAGAAGUCAUGCGGAUCAAAGUGACCGACGCGGAUGAAGUGGGCUCGGAUAACUGGCUAGCAAACUUUACGUUCGCAUCAGGAAAUGAAGGGGGCUAUUUCCACAUCGAGACUGACACACAGACUAACGAAGGCAUCGUGACCCUUGUCAAGGAAUUGGACUAUGAAGAAAUGAAGAAGCUGGACUUGAGCAUCCUUGUCACGAACAAAGCAGCUUUCCACAAGUCCGUUGUGAGCAAGUACAAGGCCACGCCCAUUCCCAUCACUGUCAAGGUCA